This 420-nucleotide ribosomal RNA is filed under the name uncultured bacterium. RNAcentral's name for it is "bacterial SSU rRNA". It matches the Rfam family "Bacterial small subunit ribosomal RNA", at positions 356 to 773 of the family's 1533-position model. The record is from RNAcentral.
AAGGAAUAUUGGACAAUGGAGGCAACUCUGAUCCAGCCAUGCCGCGUGAAGGAAUAAGGCCCUAUGGGUUGUAAACUUCUUUUAGACGGGACAAAACCCCUUUACGUGUAAAGGGUUGAUGGUACUGUCAGAAUAAGCAUCGGCUAACUUCGUGCCAGCAGCCGCGGUAAUACGAAGGAUGCAAGCGUUAUCCGGAAUUAUUGGGUUUAAAGGGUGCGUAGGUGGGCAGAUAAGUCAGUGGUGAAAUCUUCCGGCUUAACCGGGAAACUGCCGUUGAUACUAUUUGUCUUGAAUAUUGCGGAGGUAAGCGGAAUAUGUCAUGUAGCGGUGAAAUGCUUAGAUAUGACAUAGAACACCAAUUGCGAAGGCAGCUUACUACACAAUCAUUGACACUGAGGCACGAAAGCGUGGGUAGCGAAC